This 871-nucleotide ribosomal RNA is filed under the name uncultured bacterium. RNAcentral describes it as "bacterial SSU rRNA". It matches the Rfam family "Bacterial small subunit ribosomal RNA", at positions 21 to 898 of the family's 1533-position model. The record is from RNAcentral.
GGCUCAGGAUGAACGCUAGCGGCAGGCUUAACACAUGCAAGUCGAGGGGUAUAGUUCUUCGGAACUAGAGACCGGCGCACGGGUGCGUAACGCGUAUGCAAUCUACCUUUUGCAGAGGGAUAGCCCAGAGAAAUUUGGAUUAAUACCUCAUAGUAUGUGAGAAUGGCAUCAUUUUCACAUUAAAGUCACAACGGCAAAAGAUGAGCAUGCGUCCCAUUAGCUUGUUGGUAAGGUAACGGCUUACCAAGGCUACGAUGGGUAGGGGUCCUGAGAGGGAGAUCCCCCACACUGGUACUGAGACACGGACCAGACUCCUACGGGAGGCAGCAGUGAGGAAUAUUGGACAAUGGGCGCAAGCCUGAUCCAGCCAUGCCGCGUGCAGGAUGACGGUCCUAUGGAUUGUAAACUGCUUUUGUACAGGAAGAAACACUGGUUCGUGAACCAGCUUGACGGUACUGUAAGAAUAAGGAUCGGCUAACUCCGUGCCAGCAGCCGCGGUAAUACGGAGGAUCCAAGCGUUAUCCGGAAUCAUUGGGUUUAAAGGGUCCGUAGGCGGUUUAGUAAGUCAGUGGUGAAAGCCCAUCGCUCAACGGUGGAACGGCCAUUGAUACUGCUAGACUUGAAUUAUUAGGAAGUAACUAGAAUAUGUAGUGUAGCGGUGAAAUGCUUAGAGAUUACAUGGAAUACCAAUUGCGAAGGCAGGUUACUACUAAUGGAUUGACGCUGAUGGACGAAAGCGUGGGUAGCGAACAGGAUUAGAUACCCUGGUAGUCCACGCCGUAAACGAUGGAUACUAGCUGUUGGGGGCAACUUCAGUGGCUAAGCGAAAGUGAUAAGUAUCCCACCUGGGGAGUACGUUCGCAAGAAUGAA